GCUGACCCCCCGUGCGGUGUCAUCUCGUGAACUCCCCCAGGGCCGGAAGGCAGCAAGGGUCAGCGGGCGCUGGCAGGUGUGCGGGGGGUCCUCUCG
Molecule: signal recognition particle RNA, 96 nt
Filed under: Actinomycetes bacterium
Lineage: Bacteria; Bacillati; Actinomycetota; Actinomycetes
Description: signal recognition particle sRNA small type
Rfam family: Bacterial small signal recognition particle RNA
About the family: The signal recognition particle (SRP) is a universally conserved ribonucleoprotein involved in the co-translational targeting of proteins to membranes. Archaeal SRP consists of a 7S RNA and homologues of the eukaryotic SRP19 and SRP54 proteins.
Source: RNAcentral